AUUUCUUUAGUAUAUUAGUACAAGUACCUUCCAAGCAUUAAGACCCCACCCGGGAAGAAAUA
This 62-nucleotide transfer RNA is filed under the name Pareas formosensis (Formosa slug snake). RNAcentral's name for it is "tRNA-Gly". The record is from RNAcentral. Lineage: Eukaryota; Metazoa; Chordata; Lepidosauria; Squamata; Pareidae.